AUGCAGCUGACGAGUCCCAAGUAGGGUGAACGCGCGUCCUGGAU
Molecule: non-coding RNA, 44 nt
Filed under: Schistosoma mansoni
Lineage: Eukaryota; Metazoa; Platyhelminthes; Trematoda; Strigeidida; Schistosomatidae
Source: RNAcentral